Molecule: long non-coding RNA, 850 nt
Organism: Trachymyrmex septentrionalis
Lineage: Eukaryota; Metazoa; Arthropoda; Insecta; Hymenoptera; Formicidae
Exons: 2
Source: RefSeq, a predicted model, not a curated record
UCGAUAAGUGUACGAUGCGUUGCACGAAUGCUUGGGGUUCGAUUUUAGAAGUCUAUUUCGUUCUUAGUUACUUUUACGUUCAUGACUGAUACGACCGGAUGUUGCAUCAGCGAUCAUGAAUAUAUCGUAGGUUAGUAAAUUGUGUUUUGAUAGCCAACCAACGUAACUUGUUUUGAUCAGUGAAAUUUCUGAAAUAUUCCAAAACUUAAUUGAAAGAAGUCGGAGAUCAAAGCCUUUAAUAUAUCAGAUAAGUUGUAGUUUUGAAGAAGUAUAAUUGUUUUUAUAUUUGCUAAUAAGAAAAUAUAUUUUAUGGCUCGUUUUUACACAGGUAAUAAAAUAUAAGCGAAAGGAUAAUUAAUAACGCAGUGUUUGUGACAAGAAGUGGUUUAUUGGAGACAUGCACAGAAAAAUAAUCCCAGACGUCUAAUCAUAAAAUAUUAGGGCACUAUGUUAAGAAUGAGAUCAGAUAUAAGUUACUGUAAAAAUAUUAAAAACAUAAAAUGUUUAUAUUUUUGUUCCAAUCGCCUGACAAUGUCAAUACCUUAAUCGCGAAAGUAGAGACAGCAGUAGAGUGUAUCGACAUUUUGGAAACAGUCAUGCUUGCCAAUGCGUGAGUGAGAUUUCCAGCAGACCAACAUCCAACCAUUACGUUUGUACAGGACAGCAGCGUUGUUCACAAUACCCACGUGACACGAAAUUGAUUCAAUGAUCAUCCCGAGGUAGAAAAAAUAAAAAAAUUGGUCUUGCAAGUCUCUUUAAACCCCAUUGAAAAUUUAGGGAAUUAUGAUCAGGGAAUGGGGGGGGGGGAGAUCUGGAAAGCAUAGAACUCGAGAUGCAUUAAUCCAAUACA